Molecule: RNA transcript, 1958 nt
Organism: Prionailurus viverrinus (fishing cat)
Lineage: Eukaryota; Metazoa; Chordata; Mammalia; Carnivora; Felidae
Gene: TOMM34
Gene name: translocase of outer mitochondrial membrane 34
Exons: 8
Source: RefSeq, a predicted model, not a curated record
CUCACGGGCUGGUUGGCCGCGGGAUCCGAGUCCUCGCCAGCGGGUGCUCCCGCUCGCUCGCGGUUGCGCACGCCUCAGCGCGGUAACUGACGCGCCCCCCGGUUCGCCGGCCCGGCCCCGGGAUGGCCCCCAAGCUCUCAGACUCCGUGGAGGGGCUCCGCGCCGCCGGCAACCAGAGCUUCCGCAACGGCCAGUUCGCCGAGGCCGCGGCGCUGUACAGUCGCGCGCUGCAGACGCUGGCGGCGCAAGGUUCUUCGAACCCUGGAGAAGAAAGUAUUCUCUACUCUAACCGUGCAAUGUGCCACUUAAAGGAUGGCAACUGCAAGGACUGCAUCAAGGAUUGCACUUUAGCACUGGCCCUGGUUCCCUUCAGCCUGAAGCCUCUGCUGCGGCGAGCGUCCGCCUAUGAGGCUCUGGAGAAGUACCCCCUGGCCUAUGUCGACUACAAGACCGCACUGCAGAUUGAUGACCGCGUGACGUCGGCCUUGGAAGGCAUCAACAGGAUGAGCAGAGCUCUCAUGGACUCACUUGGGCCCGAGUGGCGCCUGAAGCUGCCCUUGACCCCCUUGGUGCCUGUUUCGGCUCAGAAGAGGUGGGAGUCCUUGCCCCCCGAAUGCCGCAGAGAAAGAGCUAAAAGCAAAUUCAGAGAAACCACAACGGCAAAGAGCAGAGUGCCUUCUGCUGGGGAUGUGGAGAGAGCCAGAGUUCUGAAGGAAGAAGGCAAUGAGCUUGUAAAGAAGGGAAACCAUAAGAAAGCUAUUGAGAAGUACAGUGAAAGCCUCUCAUUUAGUGACGUGGAGUCUGCCACAUACAGCAACAGAGCGCUCUGCCAUUUGGUUCUGAAGCAGUACAAGGAAGCAGUGAAGGAUUGCACAGAAGCCCUCAGGCUGGAUGGAAGGAACGUGAAGGCGUUCUACAGGCGAGCUCAAGCCCACAAGGCACUCAAGGACUAUAAAUCCAGCUUUGAAGACAUCAGUUGUCUCCUGCAACUUGAGCCCAGGAACGGCCCUGCCCAGAAGUUGCAGCAGGAAGUUAACCAGAGCUUAAACUAAACACCCAGAGGGGCAGCGGGAAACCUCUGCCUGAGCUCCCUUCUCUGUGCCUGCUCCUGGGACCUCGCCUGCCCCAGAGUGAGCUCUGAAGCAACUCAGAGACAGAUGGACGCCGCGGGACAGCUGGGAGAACCUGAGCCCGGUCCUCAGAACACCACUGCCCGUACCGACACCUUGCACUUGGAGCUGCAGAGAAUUAACCUGGAGGGGCUGGAGGGGCCAACCCCGAGGCCUCCCGCUCGCAGAUGUAGCCCGUACGAGCUGGCAUCAGCGGGAAGGUAAACUUCGUCCAGGCAGCAGCCUGCUAACUCCUCUAGGAGAGGUGUUCGUCGUGAGCUCUCCUCCUAUCCUCACGAGGCACCCUGCCACCCAGGCCCCAGCCCACCUUGGCAUUGAGGGACUCGGGGGACUCCAGCAUGAGCAGCAACUCUGAGUUGUCGAUUUCCAGCAGCAUGCCCGUGAUCUUGCCAGCCAGCUGGGUGUGGGCAUCGUAGAUAAGGGGGUACAGACGCUCACCUGUACAGAACACCUGGCUGACAUCCCAGCAGCCCCAGGGAGGCAGGGGGUACUGUGGAAGGGAGCAGUAAGGCAUGUGGUGGCAGGUUGUCCCAGAACUGCUCCUUCUGGGCUGUGUCACUUAGCCUCACUGGGAGGCUCUCUCCCAACUGUAAAGCACGCAGAGCAAACCCUGCUUCGGAGGCUAGUUUGAAGAAUCAAAUUUGACAUUCUACAUGAACGAAUCUACAUAGAGCCUGACACAAACUUGGUUGGUGUUUAAAGACUACUCUUGUUUGGGGCAGCUGGGUGGCUCAGUCGGUUAAGCAUCCGACUUCGGCUCAGGUUAUGAUCUCACAGCUUGUGAGUUCGAGCCCCGCGUCGGGCUCUGUGCUGACAGCUUGGAGCCUG